AACAUGGAUGCGGCGCGGCGGGCGCCCAGCCGCAGGGCAGGGCCGGGCCCGGCGGAGCGGGACUGGGCUGCGCUGGGCGUCCCCGCGGGGCAGGCGCCUCGCCCUGGUCGGCCGCCGCCCCCACCCGACCCGCGACCCGCGACCCGCCGCCCGCAGCCCCGCACAAAAGACCGGGGCCGCCGGAGGCCGCCGCAGCGUCAGCUCCCCCUUCCUCCCCGCCCCGUCGCGUCACCGCGCCGCCCCCCGCCCGCCCGCGGGAGGGAGGGGAGGGACCGGCCGAGGCGGGGAGGGGCGGCGGGGCCUAGCCGGAGAGUCCGGUACCGGGAGGGAGGAAGGGACCGAAGGGAGGCGGGAGAGCAGGAGGGAGGCCCAGCGCCUCGAUCUCUGGGGACCCCCUCUUGGGCCCAGCCUAAGUUAAAAUCCAGCCUUCCUGGCCCUUAUCUGUGCUGUGACGUCGGGCAAGUCCUGCAAAUCCCACUAACUCUGUGGUCAGAGCUCUCCCACCUGACAGUGGGGGUCAGGGGCAGCCCUGUUACAGAAAAGGAAGCCGGGCCUCAAAGCUGGGAAGUAACUCACCACUGAGGUCACGUUGCUGGACGUCAAAUGGACGCAACCCUCCUUUGAUGCCAUGAGCUGCGCCUGUCUGGCAGUGGCCGCCUGAGUCUGCAGUGUCCUGGACUCCUUGUGCCUAUGCUUCAAGAUUUCCUGGCUGCAUCUGUUUCCAACGAACUGUGACUUCUGGUUUCUUCUCUGAGUGUAUCUGUAUGGACCUGGCAUCACGCCAAACUAGCAGCAACUUAGAAGCAUGCAUGCCGUCUCCACUUCCGACGUAACUACAGGGGACUCGGAAAGCCCAGACCUGAGGGGCAGGGCUGCGGAUGUGACGAAAGCCAAGUGGGUCUAGGGGGAGAUCAAGGAACCAGCAUCUCAGGCUGAGCCCACAAAGCACCAGAGGCUCCUCCUGACGGGCAAAGGGCAGUCGCUUGACUGGAAUAGGAAGCGUGGGAUGUACCGUCUGGAAGCUGGAACUUUCCUGGAGCUGGCUGGCACUGAAGUCGGGGAUAGGAAGCCGCCUGUAAGGAGCUUUUGGGGUGUAUUGUGAGGGCUUUCCUGCUGCCACUCCUGGCUGCUGGGGCAAAGGCAGCUUGAACAGCUCCAACAUGCGUGCAGCUCUCUGCGUGAGGAACUGCACGGGAACCCAGGGAGAUUUCCUGGUAGCAGAAACAAAAGCCUCCCCACACUGUCCGCAACACGCACUCGCACGCACACGCACAGGCACUCGCACACGCACACACCCCUCUUCCGUCGGUGGGCAUGAAGAGCUCCUCUCACUCAUGGGUCAGAGGUAACUAGAAGAGGAGCACAUGCUGACGAAUUUAGAAUAUAUGUACGUGUGUAUAUGAAUUUAGAAUACACACACACACACACACACACACACACAAACUUAUUUCCAAAAUAGAAAGAGACUCACAGACAAAGAAAACAAACUUACCAAAGGCAAAAGGGAGGAACAAAUUAGGAGAUUGGUUUUAACACACACACACACUAUUAUAUAUAAAAUAGAUAACCAGGGAGUUCCUGUUGUGGCUCAAUGGUUUAAGCACCCAGCGUACUCUCUGUGAGAUGCAAGUUCAAUCCCUGACUUCACUCAGUGGGUUAAGGAUCCAGCAUUGCCGCCAGCUGUGGCGUAGGUUGCAGAGGCAACUCAGAUCCCUUGUUGCUGUAACUGUGGCAUGGGCUGGCAGCUUCAGCUUUGAUUCAACCCCUAGCCUGGGAACUUCCAUAUGCCACAGGUGUGGCCCUAAAAAGGAAAAAAUAAAAAUAAAAAAAUAAAAUAAAGUGGAUAACCAACAAGGACCUACUGUAUAGUACAGGGUACUGUACUCAAUAUUUUGUAAUAAUCUAUAAGGGAAAAGAUUCUGAAAAAAAAUAUAUAUAUUCUUUUUACAUAUAUAGAAAAUGUUUUCUAUAUAUUUUCACUGUGCUGUACUCCUGAAACUAACACAACAUUAUAUAUCAACUUAAAUUCAAUUUUUAAAAAAAUUGUAAUUAAAAAAGAGAAAUCUUAGGAGUUCCCUGGUGGCUCAGCAGGUUAAGGAUUCUGCAUUGUUGUGGCUGUGGCUCGGGUUGCUGCUUUGGCAUGGGUUCGAUCCCUGGCCCUGGAAGUUCUGCAUGCCUCAGAGGCAGCCAAAAAAGAGAGAGAGAGAAAUGUUGCAAGAAAAACCCCACAACUGAAAAGUAGGAGGGGCUGGCAGAGCAUGAAGCACAGUUGUUAAAAUAUGAUAAUAGUACAGCAGAACAUCAGUUCUAAAAGUUUCCAGAAAGGGAAAAAAAAAAAAAAA
Sus scrofa (pig) is the source of this 2342-nucleotide non-coding RNA. Lineage: Eukaryota; Metazoa; Chordata; Mammalia; Artiodactyla; Suidae. The record is from RefSeq and is a predicted model, not a curated record.